CGCUUCGGCGUGGCCAGCCGCCGUGAGGCUGUCUUUUCACUUUUGCUCCCGUWGUGCAUAUCUUGCCCGGGCAGGGCAUUUGUUUUCGGUUGUUUGUGUGGGUCUACCCUUGCGGGGGAACAUCGUUGCGUGUGUGAUGGUUUUUGCUUGCACCGUCGAUACGUUAUCGUCGGUGCAGCCGUUGURUCCGGCGGGUUACUUGCGCGGCAUUUGGUCAUUUGGCCCCGUGCCGCGCAUGUAUUGCGCCGGGCUCUCAUGGAUGCGGUGUUUUGUUUGAGGUCUCCGUGGGCCGUUGGUUCCUCGGUUUUCCUCGGGUUGUCCCAUGUGCGUGCCGUUUCUCCGUCGCUAUGCUCUGCCGCCGCGUAAGUCGGAGCAGUGCGUGCGGGGCGCGGUCUUGUGCAUGCGAGAUGCUUAUCCGUUCGAUUGAGCGAUUGCCGGCUCACGCCGCGUAAGCGGGGUCCCAACUAGAUUGGGGCU
Molecule: unclassified non-coding RNA, 477 nt
Filed under: Cyathochaeta diandra
Lineage: Eukaryota; Viridiplantae; Streptophyta; Magnoliopsida; Poales; Cyperaceae
Description: partial external transcribed spacer 1
Source: RNAcentral